RNAcentral lists this microRNA precursor (103 nucleotides) under Marmota monax (woodchuck). The record is from RNAcentral. Lineage: Eukaryota; Metazoa; Chordata; Mammalia; Rodentia; Sciuridae.
AGUGGGAUAGCUGGGUCUAAUGGUGGUUCCAGUCCAAGUUUUCUGAGGAAUUUCCACCCUGCUUUCCAGAGUGGUAGCACCAAUUUGCAUUCCCACUAGCAAU